This 73-nucleotide transfer RNA is filed under the name Microcaldota archaeon. RNAcentral describes it as "tRNA-Val". It matches the Rfam family "tRNA". From Rfam's summary of the family: Transfer RNA (tRNA) molecules are approximately 80 nucleotides in length. Their secondary structure includes four short double-helical elements and three loops (D, anti-codon, and T loops). Further hydrogen bonds mediate the characteristic L-shaped molecular structure. tRNAs have two regions of fundamental functional importance: the anti-codon, which is responsible for specific mRNA codon recognition, and the 3' end, to which the tRNAs corresponding amino acid is attached (by aminoacyl-tRNA synthetases). tRNAs cope with the degeneracy of the genetic code in two manners: having more than one tRNA (with a specific anti-codon) for a particular amino acid; and 'wobble' base-pairing, i.e. permitting non-standard base-pairing at the 3rd anti-codon position. The record is from RNAcentral. Lineage: Archaea; Nanobdellati; Microcaldota.
GGGCCCGUAGUCGAAUGGUCAAGACGCCAGUCUCACACACUGGAGAUCCGGAGUCCGAUUCUCCGCGGGCCCA